Molecule: long non-coding RNA, 304 nt
Organism: Pyrgilauda ruficollis (rufous-necked snowfinch)
Lineage: Eukaryota; Metazoa; Chordata; Aves; Passeriformes; Passeridae
Exons: 3
Source: RefSeq, a predicted model, not a curated record
AGGGCUCUGCUUCUCCUCCUGUUCUUACCAGCCCAGAUGAACUGAACUCCUCCCAGCAAGUAGGAGGGGAUAUUGUCACCGAGCCUGCCAUCUGCUAGCUGCCACGGAGCAGCAUGCUGCUACUGUCCGAGCUGCCACAGAGCUAAGAAGACAAAGAGAGUGUUGCUGUCUGCUCAGCAGUGUCAGACUCCACAUGGAUUUCAAACAGAAAAGUCCCAAAUAUCUGCAGUCUGCUUCGAAAGUGAACUGUACGCUUGUUCCAGAUGAUUCCCCCUUUCCCCUACACCACAGCACAUUCCCAGCC